Molecule: ribosomal RNA, 393 nt
Filed under: Acanthamoeba genotype T4
Lineage: Eukaryota; Discosea; Longamoebia; Acanthamoebidae
Description: SSU rRNA
Rfam family: Eukaryotic small subunit ribosomal RNA
Source: RNAcentral
AUUUUCUGCCACCGAAUACAUUAGCAUGGGAUAAUGGAAUAGGACCCUGUCCUCCUAUUUUCAGUUGGUUUUGGCAGCGCGAGGACUAGGGUAAUGAUUAAUAGGGAUAGUUGGGGGCAUUAAUAUUUAAUUGUCAGAGGUGAAAUUCUUGGAUUUAUGAAAGAUUAACUUCUGCGAAAGCAUCUGCCAAGGAUGUUUUCAUUAAUCAAGAACGAAAGUUAGGGGAUCGAAGACGAUCAGAUACCGUCGUAGUCUUAACCAUAAACGAUGCCGACCAGCGAUUAGGAGACGUUGAAUACAAAACACCACCAUCGGUGCGGUCGUCCUUGGCGUCGGUUUCGGCCGGCGCGGGGGUGGCUUAGCCCGGUGGCACCGGUGAAUGACUCCCCUAGC